AACGUAGGAGGCGAGCGUUAUCCGGAUUCACUGGGCGUAAAGCGCAUGUAGGUGGUUCGCCAAGUCGACUGUGAAAGCCUCUGGCUCAACUGGGGGAGGUCAUUCGAAACUGGUGGACUUGAGGGUCCGAGAGGCAAGUGGAAUUCCCGGUGUAGCGGUGGAAUGCGUAGAGAUCGGGAGGAACACUCGUGGCGAAGGCGGCUUGCUGGCGGACUUCUGACACUGAGAUGCGAAAGCGUGGGGAG
RNAcentral lists this ribosomal RNA (245 nucleotides) under uncultured bacterium. RNAcentral describes it as "partial 16S ribosomal RNA". It matches the Rfam family "Bacterial small subunit ribosomal RNA", at positions 524 to 768 of the family's 1533-position model. The record is from RNAcentral.